AUGGCGCAAUCUGACGUAAAAAUCAUCUGCUGGAACGUUCGUGGACUUAACUCGCGCGCUCGCCGUGACGCCGUUCGUGAUAUCGUUUGCGACUCCCACGCCUCCAUCGUCUGUCUCCAAGAGACAAAGCUACAACUAGUUGACGACUCCAUCAUCAGGGAGAUGCUUGGCCCUUGCUUCACCGCCAAUUACUUUGUCUUGCCUGCAUCCGGCACUAGAGGAGGAAUGAUCUUGGCCGCGUCGGACCGCUUCUUCGUGCUGUCAAACUGCCAGGCUACUCCGGGCACCAUCUCCGCCUCUGUCUCCAUGCUAAAUGAUCGCAUUGCCUGGACCAUCACUUGCGUCUAUGGUCCUCAGGGUGAGUCGGAGAAGGUGGCUUUCAUUGAGGAGUUGAGGGCUCUCUCUGCCACGACUGGAAGGCAGUGGCUUCUUUUGGGGGAUUUCAAUCUGAUCACUAAAGCGGCGGACAAGAGCAUCGCCAACAUCAAUUGCCGUCUCAUUGGGAAAUUCCGCGGGGCCCUUGACUUCAUGCAGCUAAAAGAGCUACGUAUGUGUGGGAGGCGCUUCACCUGGUCCAACAAGCAAGCAAAUCCGGUCAUGACCAAGAUUGACCACGUUUUCCACUCCGAUGACUGGGAUUUGCUCUUCCCAAAUGCGCAUCUCCAGGCCAUCUCAACGACCUGCUCCGACCAUGCCCCGCUAUUCCUUCAGGGGUGCGUCGACAAUGCGAGGAAGCCAUCCUUCAAGUUUGAGGAGUUCUGGCUGCGACUCCCCGGCUUCCAUGAUGCGGUCGCGGCCGUGUGGAACAAGCCCGUCCUGUCCCGCGAUGCCCUCCGUACGAUAUCAAAUUGUGCCGAACCGCGAAGGCUUUGCGCAAAUGGCAAAAAGAGAGGGUUGGUGUUCUAA
RNAcentral lists this ribosomal RNA (906 nucleotides) under Triticum aestivum (bread wheat). RNAcentral describes it as "partial small subunit ribosomal RNA". Lineage: Eukaryota; Viridiplantae; Streptophyta; Magnoliopsida; Poales; Poaceae. The record is from RNAcentral.